AUUGAACGCUGGCGGCAUGCCUUACACAUGCAAGUCGAACGGCAGCACGGGUGCUUGCACCUGGUGGCGAGUGGCGAACGGGUGAGUAAUACAUCGGAACAUGUCCUGUAGUGGGGGAUAGCCCGGCGAAAGCCGGAUUAAUACCGCAUACAAUCUACGGAUGAAAGCGGGGGACCUUCGGGCCUCGCGCUAUAGGGUUGGCCGAUAGCUGAUUAGCUAGUUGGUGGGGUAAAGGCCUACCAAGGCGACGAUCAGUAGCUGGUCUGAGAGGACGACCAGCCACACUGGGACUGAGACACGGCCCAGACUCCUACGGGAGGCAGCAGUGGGGAAUUUUGGACAAUGGGCGAAAGCCUGAUCCAGCAAUGCCGCGUGUGUGAAGAAGGCCUUCGGGUUGUAAAGCACUUUUGUCCGGAAAGAAAUCCUUGGCUCUAAUACAGUCGGGGGAUGACGGUACCGGAAGAAUAAGCACCGGCUAACUACGUG
Molecule: ribosomal RNA, 486 nt
Filed under: uncultured bacterium
Lineage: Bacteria
Description: partial 16S ribosomal RNA
Rfam family: Bacterial small subunit ribosomal RNA
Source: RNAcentral